This 131-nucleotide microRNA precursor is filed under the name Anopheles gambiae (African malaria mosquito). RNAcentral describes it as "microRNA aga-mir-989 precursor". Its record names the gene aga-mir-989. The stretch from base 14 to 121 matches the Rfam family "mir-989 microRNA precursor family". RNAcentral also lists the same sequence under 1 other name. Lineage: Eukaryota; Metazoa; Arthropoda; Insecta; Diptera; Culicidae. The record is from miRBase by way of RNAcentral.
GGACAGUACAGUGGCCACGGGGGUACGCCGCUACGUUGCUUUCACUUGGUACGCUCGUAUAGUAUAGAGCUAAAAGUAAACAUAGAUCCAUGUGAUGUGACGUAGUGGUACCCUCCCGUGUCUAUCACAAC